RNAcentral lists this ribosomal RNA (883 nucleotides) under uncultured eukaryote. RNAcentral's name for it is "SSU rRNA". It matches the Rfam family "Eukaryotic small subunit ribosomal RNA", at positions 565 to 1471 of the family's 1831-position model. The record is from RNAcentral.
UGCCAGCAGCCGCGGUAAUUCCAGCUCCAAUAGCGUAUAUUAAAGUUGUUGCGGUUAAAAAGCUCGUAGUUGGAUCUCGGCAAGUAGAGGGCGGUAUGCUUCGUAGCAUUACUGCCCUAUUACUUGUAGUUUUGCCAGAGGUUCCUGGGUGCUCUUAAUCGAGUGUCUAGGGAUGCUGGCAGGUUUACUUUGAAAAAAUUAGAGUGCUCAAAGCAGGCUAUUACGCUUGAAUAUUCGUGCAUGGAAUAAUAGAAUAGGAAGUUGUUUCUAUUUUGUUGGUUUUCGGAAAUCGACUUAAUGAUUAAUAGGGAUAGUCGGGGGCAUUUGUAUUCAAACGACAGAGGUGAAAUUCUUGGACCGUUUGAAGACAAACUACUGCGAAAGCAUUUGCCAAGAAUGUUUUCAUUAAUCAAGAACGAAAGUUAGAGGUUCGAAGGCGAUUAGAUACCGCCCUAGUUCUAACCAUAAACGAUGCCAGCUAGCGAUCUGAGGACGUUUUUUUUGUAGACUCCUCAGGAAGCUUCCGGGAAACCAAAGCGUGUGGGUUCCGGGGGAAGUAUGGUUGCAAAGCUGAAACUUAAAGGAAUUGACGGAAGGGCACCACCAGGAGUGGAGCCUGCGGCUUAAUUUGACUCAACACGGGAAAUCUCACCAGGCCCGGACACUGGAAGGAUUGACAGAUUGAGAGCUCUUUCUCGAUUCGGUGGGUGGUGGUGCAUGGCCGUUCUUAGUUGGUGGAGUGAUUUGUCUGGUUAAUUCCGAUAACGAACGAGACUCUGUCCUGCUAAAUAGUGUCAGCCUCUCUUCUGGGCUGACAAUUCUUCUUAGAGGGACUGGCGGCUCCUAGCCGCACGAGAUAGAGCAAUAACAGGUCUGUGAUGCC